CUUUAAACACAGAGCUCAAGACUGACCCACGUGGCUCCCAGCUGUCCAAUGGCUGCAGUUAGUAGAAAGAGCAGUGCUGGACAGAGAGCUUAGCCCUGCAAGACCUCUCCCGUGAUCACAUCUAGGGAGUGUAAGCUGGAUUUGUUGGGGAAAAGAGCAGGCACCCCUACCACAGCCUCCUGGACUGGAGAGGCCCAACCUGCCCAACCUCAGCUCAACCUGGAGUGCCGGCCACACUGGACACGUCCAGUCCUGUUGCAUAACUUCUUGCCCCUCCCCCAUAGAAACCCAAAUCCAGACCCAAUGGAGAAAAUAAAGGGAAAGGAGAUCAACUAUUCCAAAGGCCAGAUCAGCUCAAUGCAAUGAAGGAAGGAGGAGGAUGCAGGCUACACCAGAAUCCUGGGUUCUCAGCUGGACCAC
Bos taurus (domestic cattle) is the source of this 420-nucleotide long non-coding RNA. The record is from Ensembl. NCBI's taxonomy places the organism in Eukaryota, Metazoa, Chordata, Mammalia, Artiodactyla, Bovidae.